Molecule: unclassified non-coding RNA, 328 nt
Filed under: soil metagenome
Description: partial contains 5.8S ribosomal RNA, internal transcribed spacer 2, and large subunit ribosomal RNA
Rfam family: 5.8S ribosomal RNA (bases 1-119)
Source: RNAcentral
GAUGAAGAACGUAGCGAAAUGCGAUAAGUAAUGCGAAUUGCAGAAUCCGUGAGUCAUCGAAUCUUUGAACGCACAUUGCGCUCCCUGGUAUUCCGGGGAGCAUGCCUGUUCGAGCGUCAUUACAACCCUCAAGCUCUGCUUGGUGUUGGGCCCCGCCGCCCCGGCGGGCCCUAAAGUCAGUGGCGGUGCCGUCCGGCUCCGAGCGUAGUAAUUUUUCUCGCUUUGGAGGCCCGGGCGCGUGCUUGCCAUCAACCCCCAAUUUUUUUCAGGUUGACCUCGGAUCAGGUAGGGAUACCCGCUGAACUUAAGCAUAUCAAUAAGCGGAGGA